UCUCGGAUAGUAUAGUGGUGAGUAUCCCCGCCUGUCACGCGGGAGACCGGGGUUCAAUUCCCCGUCCGAGAG
This 72-nucleotide transfer RNA is filed under the name Radiomyces spectabilis. RNAcentral's name for it is "tRNA-Asp". It matches the Rfam family "tRNA". From Rfam's summary of the family: Transfer RNA (tRNA) molecules are approximately 80 nucleotides in length. Their secondary structure includes four short double-helical elements and three loops (D, anti-codon, and T loops). The record is from RNAcentral. Lineage: Eukaryota; Fungi; Mucoromycota; Mucoromycetes; Mucorales; Radiomycetaceae. RNAcentral also lists the same sequence under 3 other names.